Molecule: ribosomal RNA, 505 nt
Filed under: uncultured bacterium
Lineage: Bacteria
Description: bacterial SSU rRNA
Rfam family: Bacterial small subunit ribosomal RNA
Source: RNAcentral
GAGUUUGAUCAUGGCUCAGGGUGAACGCUGGCGGCGUGCCUAAUACAUGCAAGUCGAACGCCCUGCACAGUGCGCUUCUUAUAAAGUAAAAAGAAGCGUAGCGUGCAGGGAGUGGCGAACGGGUGAGUAACACGUUGGAACCUGCCUCAAAGUAAGGGAUAGUCCACCGAAAGGUGGAGUAAUACCUUAUAGUCUCUUCGGAGUAAAGAUUUAUCGCUUUGAGAGGGUCCCGCGGCCGAUUAGCUAGUUGGUAAGGUAAUGGCUUACCAAGGCGACGAUCGGUAGCUGGUCUGAGAGGAUGAUCAGUCACACUGGAACUGAGACACGGUCCAGACUCCUACGGGAGGCAGCAGUAGGGAAUCUUCCACAAUGGGCGCAAGCCUGAUGGAGCAACGCCGCGUGCAGGAUGAAGGCUUUCGGGUCGUAAACUGCUUUUAUAUGGGAAGAUUAUGCCGGUACCAUAUGAAUAAGAGUUGGCUAACUCCGUGCCAGCCGCCGCAGUAAG